AUGCGGUCCCGGGUUCUGUGGGGCGCUGCCCGGUGGCUCUGGCCCCGCCGGGCCGUUGGCCCAGCCCGCCGGCCCCUGAGCUCCGGUAGCCCGCCGCUGGAGGAGCUGUUCGCCCGGGGCGGGCCCUUGCGGACCUUCCUCGAGCGCCAUUCGGGGUCUGAAGCCCACUUGAAGGUCAGGAGGCCCGAGUUGCUGGCGGUGAUCAGACUGCUGAACGAGAAGGAGCAGGAGCUGCGGGAGACUGAGCACUUGCUGCACGAUGAGAAUGAAGAUUUAAGGAAACUUGCAGAGAAUGAAAUCACUUUGUGUCAAAAAGAAAUAACCCAGCUGAAGCAUCAGAUUAUCUUACUUUUGGUUCCCUCAGAAGAAACAGAUGAAAAUGAUUUGAUCCUGGAAGUGGCCUUAGACAUGCAUCUGCCAGCAUUGGGGGUUCAGAAGCCUAUAGGCACAUGAAAUUUGAAGGAGGUGUUCACAGAGUACAAAGAGUGCCAAAGACAGAAAAGCAAGGCCGCGUCCAUACUAGCACCAUGACUGUAGCAAUAUUACCCCAGCCUACUGAGAUUAAUCUGGUGAUUAAUCCGAAAGAUUUGAGAAUUGACACUAAGCGAGCCAGUGGAGCUGGGGGGCAGCAUGUAAAUACCACGGACAGUGCUGUCCGGAUAGUUCAUCUUCCAACAGGUGUUGUUUCUGAAUGUCAACAAGAGAGAUCUCAGCUGAAAAAUAAAGAGCUGGCUAUGACAAAGUUACGUGCAAAACUGUACAGCAUGCAUCUAGAAGAAGAAACAAAUAAAAGACAGAAUGCUAGAAAAAUUCAG
This 815-nucleotide small RNA is filed under the name Pan troglodytes (chimpanzee). RNAcentral's name for it is "processed transcript". Lineage: Eukaryota; Metazoa; Chordata; Mammalia; Primates; Hominidae. The record is from RNAcentral.